RNAcentral lists this ribosomal RNA (424 nucleotides) under uncultured prokaryote. RNAcentral describes it as "bacterial SSU rRNA". It matches the Rfam family "Bacterial small subunit ribosomal RNA", at positions 355 to 796 of the family's 1533-position model. The record is from RNAcentral.
UGGGGAAUCUUGGGCAAUGGGCGAAAGCCUGACCCAGCCACGCCGCGUGCAGGACGACGGCCUUCGGGUUGUAAACUGCUUUUGCGUGGGACGAUAACGACGGUACCACGCGAAUCAGCCCCGGCUAACUCUGUGCCAGCAGCCGCGGUAAUACAGAGGGGGCAAGCGUUGUCCGGACUUACUGGGCGUAAAGCGCACGCAGGUGGUAGCGCAAGUGGGGUGUGAAAGCCGCCAGCUCAACUGGCGGAGGCCAUCCCAAACUGCGUCACUUGAGGCCUGUAGAGGUAUGUGGAAUUGCCGGUGUAGUGGUGAAAUGCGUAGAGAACGGUAGGAACACCCAGGGGGAAACCAGCAUACUGGACAGGACCUGACACUCAGGUGCGACAGCGUGGGGAGCGAACCGGAUUAGAUACCCGUGUAGUCC